This is a long non-coding RNA of Diabrotica virgifera virgifera (western corn rootworm), 286 nucleotides long. RefSeq lists it as uncharacterized. NCBI's taxonomy places the organism in Eukaryota, Metazoa, Arthropoda, Insecta, Coleoptera, Chrysomelidae. The record is from RefSeq and is a predicted model, not a curated record. The transcript is spliced from 2 exons.
CUAUUUCAUAGAACUAGUGUCAUUACACCGUUGGUAAUUGCUAAUUAAUUAUAUCGUUUUAAACAACCAUGUAUUUCGAAUAAAAUUGUUGGUUAGGUGUUGUUUGUAUAUACUUAGAUCUAUUAUGAAUUUUAAAAAUAUGUUGUGUAUAUACAUGUACAUUGUUACUAGUUUCUUUGUCUUCCACCCAAAUCCCUGAGUAUUUUGCUAUUAUUUGGUUACUCUGAUGAAGUCUAUAAGCAUAGACGAAAGCUUAGACCAUUAAUAAAAAGGCACAUCCUACGAA